UACGUAGGUGGCAAGCGUUAUCCGGAAUUAUUGGGCGUAAAGAGGGAGCAGGCGGCAGCAAAGGUCUGUGGUGAAAGACUGAAGCUUAACUUCAGUAAGCCAUAGAAACCGGGCAGCUAGAGUGCAGGAGAGGAUCGUGGAAUUCCAUGUGUAGCGGUGAAAUGCGUAGAUAUAUGGAGGAACACCAGUGGCGAAGGCGGCCUGCUGGACUGCGACUGACGUUGAGGCCCGAAAGCGUGGGGAGCAAACAGG
RNAcentral lists this ribosomal RNA (252 nucleotides) under uncultured bacterium. RNAcentral describes it as "partial 16S ribosomal RNA". It matches the Rfam family "Bacterial small subunit ribosomal RNA", at positions 524 to 776 of the family's 1533-position model. The record is from RNAcentral.